GGUACAGCUAUGUAUAAUGAAGUGCAUGUUUUUGUUAGUUAAUUGCAUUUCUCCAAUUGUCUGUUAAUAUGGCUUAGUUAUUGCUCACCUGGUUUGAUUUUUGAAUCCUUGGGCCUAUGCGCCCUCUUGGGCAUAUGUUGUUAAGCACUUACCAAAUAUAACAUAUUCACUCCUUCAGUAGGUUGUUGUAAUUUCUUUAUUUGUUACCGUGAUUACUCAUAUCCUCCGGCCCCUGACUUUGCUUCAGUUUAAAGAACCGGCCUCAGCUCCAAACUAAUUGAAGAGCCCUGAUGUAUACCGUACCACCACAUAAACCAAAAGAACCCUGUAGACAGAAAUGAGAGGCCAGAUAUGGGAUUAUUGUAGACUGUGCUUUAUUAUUGGGCUAAGCGGAGACGCAUCAUUCAGUAAAAUUACAAAAAGAGUCCAAGGACCACAGAAAUGCACUGAUUGGAGAAACGGCAGGAGCAGCAAAGCGCUCUGACCAAUCAAAGUCCUGUACCAAUUAUGAUUAACCAAUCUCACGCCAAGCCUCACCAUGAUUGACAGGCUGGCACUCCACACACAACACUCUGCCCUCCUCCACUGUGCUGAGAGAAAAAAGAUUGUUUCUGUGUAAAUUUGUUUUAGUUGCUCAUCAACCUACAUGUAUUUAUGUUUCAAUCCUGUAUGUCAGACCAGUGGCUUGUUUGAAAUCAGAAGUAAGAUUAGCAGAAAAAUAUGAUAGAGCAAAUUCUGCAAUUUUUGAAAGGUGAAUUGCAGGCUUUCUAUUUUUUUUUCUUUUUUUUCAUGAUAGGAGCGGAGCGAUGUGUGUGGAAAAGAAAAUGGACGGCACAUUUCUGAUCGACACAGAGACAGUAGAACAGCAGAGUAGAGCAGAACGUUACUGUAGAACGUUAUGAAGAACAACAUUAUGUGGGCGUGUGGAACGUCCCCCAGUAAAAUGAUGACCCUGCCUCUGACCAAUGCCUGUUUCAUAAUAUAAAACAUCUUCAAAAAUAUAUUUUCCCAAAAAAAUGGCUUCCUCUUCAAAGCACAAACUCAUAACCUCGUUAAAAAUGCAAUCUGUAAUAAAUAAUGAAAUAAAUAAAACAUACAUACACAUACAUUCACACAUACGUACGCAUUCGCCCCAGGCAGAAAUAAAUAAAUUAACAUGUGAAAAAAAAAUACAACCGUAGAAAUUAAACAGAAAUCAACAGAGCAUGUAGGCAUAACUGGUUUCUCAACGCAUACGAACGCAUGUUAAGUAUUUCCAUCUGAUUGAACUGGGUGCUCUCCCCAUCUGCACACUCUAUUUGCCCCUCCCACCCCCACCCCCACGUCACAAUCCUGUGGCCUCAAUGUUCCCCUGCUUUCAUUAAGAGAUUUCAAUUUUUUUUUAUGGUAUUACCUUUUUUUUUUAUUAGUCUUAUUUCAGUAUUUAAAGUGAUUCAUUUUCAUCCAGUCCUCAUAGAUAGAAGAAAAAAGUCCUAUAAAAUAUGCAAACCUAUGUACAGAGGAAAAGAGAGCCCCAAAAAAGAAACAUUUACAGUAUAUUCAUCAGUUUAUGUAUAUAUUUAUAUAUUUAUAUUUAUAAUAAAUCCUCAUCUGGCUUCUUGGUUGCCUGUUAACCAUUAUAUUUCUCUGGACUGUUUAUGCAAACAGUUGCAGCAUUACUGAUGGAGGUGGUUUGAUAGCAGAAAGGGAAAGCAAAAGAGAAGAGAAGAGAAGAUGUGAGGCGUGUUUGAGUAGAGGACUUAAGGAGCAUGUCUCAUGAUUUAGGCCACAGCCAUGCAUGUCUCAUGAUGUAGGCUACAGCCAUGCAUGUCUCAUGAUGUAGGCCACAGCCAUGCGAGGGCUGCAUUCCGCUGUUGCUAUGCCAUCAAAGGCUGUUCUAUUUGGAAUCCUUUCAAAAACAGCAGCGGAAUGCAGCCUUCAUUGUAAGGAAAGUCAAGAAUGCAACUGGUAUGUCCUUCCAUUCCUUCAGUUGCCUAAAAUUGGCUAGAAUUGACAUCAUGUACAGUAUAUGCCCUGUUUACCACAAAUAUUCAUCUUCCAAAAUGUACGUUUUUUUUUAGUUAGUUGUUGUUUUUGUCUUUAAAUAAUCAUUAAUUCAACCCAUUAGCCAGCAAGUGUGGCCUAAUGUAAGUUGUACUGAAGUUGUUUUCUGUUAUUUAUAAGUUGAAAGUUAAGGUUUUGGAGGGAAAUGGGAAAUCCCACAUGAUGUAAUAUGACCAAACCAACUCAUGUGGGGUCUUAAAUUUAGCAUAAACUAUAUCUAUAACAAUGAUACUACACAUUUGCACAUGACAAUACUGUGGCUGCAACCCACCACAUGAGACAUGCUUGCUAUAAGAACUUGAGUAUGAUUUCAGCAGUGAUACUGAGAGGCAGAAUUAAAACAGAGAAUACUGUCAGAGACAGGCCUGAAAGUCAAAACAAAGGAAAUAAAAGAUAUUGAUCCUGUCAUAGUUGUGAGGUAUGAAUGAUUUGUGAGACAUUCUUGGAGGUGAUCUCUGCAAUGUCACUCUGGCAGGAAAGUGUGAAACAGGAAGUGCAAGAUAAAGCCAAUGAGAGGGGUUGAUAAUAUGCAGGUGCUUAAAAACCUCUCACCAUCCUGUUCUUCCACUAUCUAGAGUAUCGUUUGCAGGACUUUCAAACACCUCCCUUUUUCUUGGUAACUGCGGAAGCAAUCAGCCAUGCAACACCUGCAAACCUCCUGGGUCCACCUAAGCCAUUCGUCAGGCAAUGCUCAGCGAUCAGUGAAAGUCAAAAUUCGAAUCCACAUGACCCCCCCCCCCCCCCCCCCCUAUCAAUACACCCUUCCUCUGAUUUCAUGCUGUGGAACUUCCCAUAGACCCAAGCACAUAGCUUCAACUACUUCCUCAUUCUGAGCUAUGUGCUAAUUUAGCGUCAAGCUAAUCCGGUGAUGAGCAGUUGGCUCCCUCUCUGGGUGGCUCCUGUAAACAUACUGCUUGGGUGGAGUCUGUUGUUGUAAAUACUUUUUGUGAGCAGAAAACGGAACUUAAUGCCCUGUUCGUGUUCAGUGUCACCAUAGACCUAUGUGACAGCUAAAAAAAGGCUCAAGGCUUUGAGUGCCAGGCGAGAGAAUAUCCUACAUUAGAUGCUAGCUAACUAUUAGGCUUAAUCGUUUUUUUUUUUUGUGUGUUUUUUUUUUGUCUUUAUUUUUAAUUUUUUUGCAGCUCUGUUUGGACUAGAUUGUUGCCGUAGCGGGCUUGACAUCAAGUUAACGGAAGCUGCGUGUGACGCUAACGAACACAGUGUUUGCAUGUCACGUUAUCAGGCCUACAGUCUUAGCGCACCCAGGAGAGACCCAAAUGAUAACCAUCACGUCUGACUUCCCGCUUUUACAAGAGCACUGGUCGUGAGUUUGUGUGUUUGUAUGUAUACUGUAUGCAUGUGUGUUUGACACCCUGUGUGUAUGUUUUUUUUUGGUGUGUGUAUGUGUGUGCAUGUGUUCACUGUGUGUACGUCAAGUCUACUUGGCAAAAGAGGCAGAUAUGCUUAGGAUAUUGUGUAAAGUCUUUUCUCUCGAAAGGAAAGAAGUCGAAAAAGGAGAAAUAUCCUGAUUCUCGAGCCUGACUCUCUUCAAGUCUUCUUAAUAAGAAGAGGCCUUUUUGCGAUUUUUUUUCUUUGAAGUAGCAUAUACAGUUAUAUACAUAUACAGUAAUAAUAUACACACUUGUCCCGUGUGCGUUGGCAUAUAUGUUGUCAUCAGAGAGAGGAAUGCCUGCUGAGUGGGAGCUGCCAGGUGUGUGACUCUUCCCAGGGUUAAGACCAAGCAGAGCAGUGCUUCAGACUCCAGCUAAAAUCUACAAAAAAGUACAGCUCUACCUAAUCGAAUAGCCGUUUUUCUAGAUAUAUACACACAUAUAUAAAAUAUAUGCAUAUAAAUACAUAUAUGGGUUUCAGGAUUAAUAUCCAUGUAUCCAUAUAUAUAUGUGUGUUAUCGUACACGUCAGUAUAUAUAUGAAUACAUUUUUUAGCUUGAAUGUUUUCGCUAUACAUAUAUAUCUAUAUGUACUGUAAAUAUAAAGGAGUUUGUAUAUUUCAAACCGUUUAGCGGUGGUUUCUUAACUACAAGGUUAGGAUGUGCAGAUAUAAAAGGUAAGGCUGCGACAGCAACAACCCUCCCCAUGCACCCCCGCCUCCUGGACAGGAGGAGGAACAAACAAACCAAAAAAAAUCAAGAGAAAAAAAUAAAUACUUUUUCAUUUUUGUAGCAGUAAGUUGUAAACUAGCGAAGUGAGUGACCCACCACAGGGUCAUCUGAAAUAGUUUUGCCAGUAUUCAAAAGCAUAUCAGCAAUAUAUAUAUAUGUAUGUUUUAUACAUAUAUUUAUAGAGAGUCUACUUAUACAUUUUUUUUUCUUUAAAUACAACUCUUUGAACUGAUUGGCACAGCGAAAGAGAUGCAGUGGUCCGACAUAUGUUACAGCUAUGAGUCUUUUAGCAGUAAAAAGGCUUGGUCUUUUGGUCCCUAAACAACUAAGGAAUGACAGGUAAGUCUCCCAGGGGGACUGUUGCUGUUGCUCUGGCAACCGUGGCCCCUGGAAACAGACAGGCACUCCAAGAUAAAGAUGGCCAUCCCAGAAAAACGAAACAAAGUUUGUGUCCUGAAUCGUCACCUCCUUCAAAAUGUUCCCUCUUUCUCCAAAAAGUUUCUCAUUUUUUCUCAUUGUCUUCAACUUCUUCUAAAAUUGUUAAAAAGAGUUUUUUUUUUCUCCUCACAAAGACAAACCCCAAGAGUAAAAGUCUAUAUCAGUUUUCUUAAAAGUUCAUUUGUUUCUUUUUGCUUUCUUUUUUCAUUUCUUCAUUAAUUUAUCUAGUUAUUUUUUAAGUAAUAAUUCCAUAUGGUCCUAUGAGAUGGGUCUUCUCCAGGCAGAUGGUGACAGAUAGGGAAGGUCCUGGCGAGACCCAAAGCAUCCUGGUUCUUGGGGGGUGGGGGGUGGGGAGGGGAGGGGAGGGGUUGGGGGUGUUAGUGGAGUGUGUCCCAGCUGUGGAGUCCUCUCUGGGGGCUGGCUCUCCAUCAUCCACGGUCAGCCCAUCUCCAUCUGAAGCUCAACUCCCCAGCACAAUCUGGUCCUUUUUUUUUUGUUUGUUUGUUUUCUUUUGAUGUCAACGACGUUUUUGUCAUGUUGUCAACGUGUGGUCCAGCUCUACAAAAACCUGAAAGACAGUCAAUCUGUCAGUCACUCAGUCUGUCAUUACAUCAAUCAAACACAGGCAUGUAUGGCUUUCUGAAUCCCCAGGAGUCUGGGGCUAGAUUUCGGCAUUUUGGUGACACAUGUAGGUUCCACAAAAAUGAAAAGUCACUUGUCUAAACGUCUUUUAAAAACUGUAGUUCUACUCAGUACGUUUUUGGCGGUUUUUCUCUUCUCUUCAGGCCCUACCUGCACCCCCUGCUCAGUUUUGUGAGCGCUGUUGUUGACAUUUAUCGAGUGCUGUCGUCGUCAGGUGCCAAAACAGAAAGGCGUCCCCUGGACGCCUCAGUGAGGGUGUAACAGCGCGAUAACUCGGCCAAGUUAAGGGCA
Molecule: long non-coding RNA, 5536 nt
Organism: Clupea harengus (Atlantic herring)
Lineage: Eukaryota; Metazoa; Chordata; Actinopteri; Clupeiformes; Clupeidae
Source: Ensembl